GGGGGUGAGGUUCAGUGGUAGAGAGAGCACUUGCCUUGCAUGUGUGAGGCCCUGGGUUCAAUUCCUAGCAUGACCA
This 76-nucleotide transfer RNA is filed under the name Heterocephalus glaber (naked mole-rat). It matches the Rfam family "tRNA". From Rfam's summary of the family: Transfer RNA (tRNA) molecules are approximately 80 nucleotides in length. The record is from Rfam by way of RNAcentral. Lineage: Eukaryota; Metazoa; Chordata; Mammalia; Rodentia; Bathyergidae.